CCUACGGGAGGCUGCAGUGAGGAAUAUUGGUCAAUGGGCGCGAGCCUGAACCAGCCAAGUCGCGUGAGGGAAGACGGUCCUAUGGAUUGUAAACCUCUUUUGUCGGGGCGCAAAAGACGCCACGCCUGGCGUUCCGACAGUACCCGAAGACAAAGCAUCGGCGAACUCCGUGCCAGCAGCCGCGGUAAUACGGAGGAUGCGAGCGUUAUCCGGAUUUUUUGGGUUAAAGGGGUGCGCAGGCGGAAGUUCAAGUCAGCGGUAAAAUUUAGUGGCUCAACCUCUUCGAGCCGUUGAAACUGGUUUUCUUGAGUGAGUGAGAGGUAUGCGGAAUGCGUGGUGUAGCGGUGAAAUGCAUAGAUAUCACGCAGAACUCCGAUUGCGAAGGCAGCAUACCGGCGCUCAACUGACGCUCAUGCACGAAAGUGUGGGUAGCGAACAGGAUUAGAUACCCCGGUAGUC
This 459-nucleotide ribosomal RNA is filed under the name uncultured bacterium. RNAcentral's name for it is "partial 16S ribosomal RNA". It matches the Rfam family "Bacterial small subunit ribosomal RNA", at positions 338 to 795 of the family's 1533-position model. The record is from RNAcentral.